CGGCGAGAGAGCCAGAGACAGUAUGAGCUGCGAGCGGCUUCCGAAGUCGAUUGCGUGCAUUGGGUUGACGCUAUCAGGGAGGCGAGUUUCAACAAGCUGCUACUCCAGAAGGAAGAGUUGGAACAGAAGCAACUACACUUGCUCCAGGUGGUGGAGAGCGAGCGGACGUCCAGGUGGCAGUACGCGCAGCAAUGCGAUGAGCUCGCUAACGAAGUUAAGAAACUGAGAACAGAGGUACUCGAGGUAGACAUGUUUGAAAAUAUUAUAUAUGCUUACUAUGCUUUCACUUUUUUGUUCCACUAAGGAUAUUUUAUAUAGUAUAGUCUCCAUUCUACGUGACCUUCGCGAAUUUGUACUAUUUGGGAA
This 366-nucleotide unclassified non-coding RNA is filed under the name Melitaea cinxia (Glanville fritillary). Its description in RNAcentral is "misc RNA ENSMCXG00005016927.1". The record is from RNAcentral. Lineage: Eukaryota; Metazoa; Arthropoda; Insecta; Lepidoptera; Nymphalidae.